Molecule: long non-coding RNA, 249 nt
Filed under: Lathyrus oleraceus (garden pea)
Lineage: Eukaryota; Viridiplantae; Streptophyta; Magnoliopsida; Fabales; Fabaceae
Description: Pisum sativum (pea) long non-coding RNA (PSAT_LNC012531)
Source: RNAcentral
ACAAAAAGACAUUUGAAUGGGUCAUAUUUACCAAUUAGAAGUAUAUACAAAAUGGUCAAAGUGGACUUAAAAUUUCAAUUCAAAAUAAGUAUUAUGAAAAGAAAGUUUAAAAAUCAAAAGCAUAAGGCUUAGGUUUCUAAUGUUGAAAACAAGAGUUAAAUGUUUGCACAAAAGUUUUGGCUUGGGUUAGAGUGGAGAGAAGAAGGAGAAGGGAUAAAGUCCUAAGCAAUGCAAAAAAGUGAGGGAAGA